This 1061-nucleotide ribosomal RNA is filed under the name Allophryne ruthveni (Tukeit Hill frog). Its description in RNAcentral is "partial 16S ribosomal RNA". It matches the Rfam family "Bacterial large subunit ribosomal RNA", at positions 854 to 2597 of the family's 2925-position model. The record is from RNAcentral. Lineage: Eukaryota; Metazoa; Chordata; Amphibia; Anura; Allophrynidae.
ACUCAAGAAAAGGAUUUUAGUCCAACCUAAAAUUUUACUAAUAACCCAAAAUAAACUAUUUUAGAGCAAUUUAAAUAAGGUACAGCCUAUUUAAAACAGGAUACAACCUAAACUAACGGGUCAUCUUCAUUUUCUGUACAACUAAGUGGGCCUAAAAGCAGCCACCUUUAAUAAAAGCGUCAAAGCUUAAUUGAACCGAUACCCCAAUACCAAAAAUUACAGCAAACCCUUUACCAGUAUUGAGUAAUUCUAUAUUUGUAUAGAAAUUAUUAUGUUAAAACUAGUAACAAGAAGAAGAACUUCUCUUAAAUGCAAGUGUAAAUCAGAAAGGACACCCCACUGAUAAUUAUUCACCCAUGAGCACAGAGUAGCAACUUAGCAAGAAAACCCUACUUGUCCUAAUGUCAACCUAACACAAGAGCAUCUCAAGAAAGAUUAAAAGAAAAAGAAGGAAUUCGGCAAAUAUUAACCUCGCCUGUUUANCAAAANCAUCGCCUCUUGACAAACUAUAAGAGGUCCAGCCUGCCCAGUGACUCUGUUCAACGGCCGCGGUANCCUAACCGUGCGAAGGUANCGUAAUCACUUGUUCUUUAAAUGAGGACUAGUAUGAAUGGCACCACGAGGGUUAUACUGUCUCCUUUUUCUAAUCAGUAAAACUAAUCUUCCCGUGCAGAAGCGGGAAUAAACCUAUAAGACGAGAAGACCCUAUGGAGCUUUAAACUAAGUCACAUUUGCUUUACUCUCUACCCCUCCCCAGAGAAGUCAUAAACAUUUUAACAAACUGAUGACUAGUUUUCGGUUGGGGUGACCGCGGAGCAGAAAAAAACCUCCACAUUGAAAGGAACUUAAUCCUAAGCCAAGAGCCACAACUCUAAGCAUCAAUAAAACGACAUUAAUUGACCCAAUAUAUUGAUCAACGAACCAAGUUACCCUAGGGAUAACAGCGCAAUCCACUUCAAGAGCUCCUAUCGACAAGUGGGUUUACGACCUCGAUGUUGGAUCAGGGUAUCCCGGUGGUGCAGCCGCUACCAAAGGUUCGUUUGUUCAACGAUUAAAACCCU